AUGGAAGCCACCGCCGCCGCCUCCCUCGCACGGACCCUCGCCUCCUCGCCGCUCCCCCGCGGCACCCGCCGUAGCCGCGUGCGCGUGGCCGUGGCGCCGGAGCGGCGGAGGAGGGGUAGGGCGGUGCUCGCCGCGGCGGACUCGACGGGCAACUACGUGGUGCCGCUGGAGCCCGCGCCGUCGGGGUUCACGCGCCCGCUCGUCGAGAUCCUGCGCGUGGCCGUGGCGCCGGAGCGGCGGAGUCGGGGUAGGGCUUCUCCGGCAAGGAGGAGGAGAGCGAGCUGGUGCCGUCCUCCCUCGCGCCCAUCGUUCCCAUCCUCAGUAUGGCGAGCUGGUGCUCCAGAGUUGGUAGCAGCAGUAUCCGUCGCCCGCAUCUCCUCUGGGAAGACGACCAAGGUAUAUAUGUGCUUCAGGCCUUGUGUGAACAGGAACGGGGUAUGGAAUGGGUGCAGCAGAUUAAUUAUAAGCGGAACCAUCCGAAUCUAG
This 486-nucleotide ribosomal RNA is filed under the name Triticum aestivum (bread wheat). Its description in RNAcentral is "partial small subunit ribosomal RNA". The record is from RNAcentral. Lineage: Eukaryota; Viridiplantae; Streptophyta; Magnoliopsida; Poales; Poaceae.